Macrobrachium nipponense is the source of this 571-nucleotide long non-coding RNA. RefSeq lists it as uncharacterized. The transcript has 4 exons. The record is from RefSeq and is a predicted model, not a curated record. NCBI's taxonomy places the organism in Eukaryota, Metazoa, Arthropoda, Malacostraca, Decapoda, Palaemonidae.
UAGGCAAUGGGUGAAACUGACUGUCAUCCGAGUACACGAACAAGGUCCAUAUCUUUCGCCGAAUAUUUACAGGUCAGCGAGAUGGGGAUGCAAAUACUUCAUAAAAUGAUUUGCACACUACUAUUCAUUGAGGCCAAAGCAAGUUCCACGUUGAAAGAUGACCAAAUCGGGUAUCCGAUGGUAGUGAUUUGAAUCGUAAUUACCAUUGUUCGUCAAGAGAAAAAUACCAUGUCAUGUCAUCUGUCAAAUGGAUGAAGAAUCAUGGAGGGUACUGACAUCAAGACAAUGUAAUGACCUGGAGAAAAAUGGCUUUAUUUAUAAGUAGGAAUAAAAGACUGAGGGGUUUAAAAGGUAAAGGCCUUAAAGUAAUGAGAUUGAUCAUAGAGACUGCCGGCAAAUAUAUUCCAUCAAGAGAAGCCAAGCUCAGUCAGUGAGAGACUCCGAGCAAAAGACAACUUCUUGAUUUACUAUUAUCCUUGAUAGAGAGGUUGAUGACUUUGUUGUACUUUGAAGGCUAAUGUUAUGAAUUCUGGAUCUUCCAAUGUCCAAGCUUGCACAAAAAGAAGAGGAA